Molecule: long non-coding RNA, 1238 nt
Organism: Homo sapiens (human)
Lineage: Eukaryota; Metazoa; Chordata; Mammalia; Primates; Hominidae
Product: long intergenic non-protein coding RNA 1830
Source: Ensembl
AGACAACUUAGGAACCAAUACACACUGCACAUGUCUCUUUCUGAAAUGUUCUCCGCCUUAGUUUUUAUGAGAGAGUGAAAGCACAGUUCUGUAAUAUAUGAAGAAAUCUGUGGAUUCUGUAGAGACAGGAACAGCGUGACAUAAAUCUCAGGAAGGCAUCUUAUUUCACAAAUUUCCCAUUUGAUUCCUGCUAUUGUGUGAGGCUGGGCUCUUCAUCUCUAUCAAAAUCAGUCUGGAAGCCUUCUGAGAUUGCCUCUAGAAAAGCCAAUACUCCCGCGGAUUGGACCACAGAUGCUAUAACCAAACUGAGAAUCAGAAACGCUAAGUAACUUGCCCAAGAAUGCAUAGUAAUAAAAGAUGGAGUUUCACUCUUGUUGCCUGGACUGGAGUGCAAUGGCGUGAUCUCAGCUCACGGCCCACGGAAUUACUGGGUUCAAGUGAUUCUCCUGCCUCAGCCUCCCGAGUAACUGGGAUUACAGGAAUGCACCACCACCCCCAGCUAAUUUUGUAUUUUUAGUAGAGAUGGGAUUUCUCCAUUUUGGUCAGGCUGGUCUCAAACUCCUGACCUCAGGUGACACCACUGACUUGUCCUGAUCUGGAGAGGCUCUGGCUUGCUCAGCCUGCUGUUGAGUUUGCAAUGAGAGUGUAAAGUCAAGACAGCUACAGAUGCUAACAGGACAUGGACACCUUUUCAGAUAACUGACUUCAUCUGUCUGCCUGUUUAUGUGGAGAGCUGAUUAUCAGCCAUGUGCAAAUACUGGGGAACCGAUCUGAUCUCUGUGAUGUUUUACACUACAGGCGGAGCAGAGCCAUCUUUCUAUCCAACAUUCACUCAGCGAGAGUCUCACUCUGUUGCUCAGGCUGGAGUGCAGUGUCAUGAUCUUGGCUCGCUGCAACCUCCACCUUCCAGGAUCAAGUGAUUCUCAUGCCUCAGCCUCCCAAGUAACUGGGAUUACAGCCUACUUACCUGUGGUGACCCUGGAUUCUGUACAACUGAUUUGUUGAUACAGAAGAGAGUCAUGCAAACUACAGAAAUCCACCCAAAACCGAGAGAAGGAGAGUAUCUGUUUUCAGAGGAGCUGUCUGCUUUGGGAGGAAGUUCCAGAAGUGAGCCUCAGGAAUUACAACAUUAAUUGAGAAACUGAAUGAUUAAAAUUGUAGUAACAAAUAGCUUUCCUUGGAACUGUCCCAGAAUCUAUUAUUUUUUUUUCCUUUUCUGUCAUUAACAAAAACACCAA